Molecule: ribosomal RNA, 254 nt
Filed under: uncultured bacterium
Lineage: Bacteria
Description: partial 16S ribosomal RNA
Rfam family: Bacterial small subunit ribosomal RNA
Source: RNAcentral
UAUGUAGGGUGCGAGCGUUGUCCGGAAUUAUUGGGCGUAAAGAGCUCGUAGGCGGUGUGUCACGUCGGCCGUGAAAACCUGGGGCUCAACUCUGGGCGUGCGGUCGAUACGGGCAUCACUAGAGUUCGGCAGGGGAGACUGGAAUUCCUGGUGUAGCGGUGAAAUGCGCAGAUAUCAGGAGGAACACCGGUGGCGAAGGCGGGUCUCUGGGCCGAUACUGACGCUGAGGAGCGAAAGCAUGGGUAGCGAACAGG